CACCGCGGUUACACGAGGGGCUCAAGUUGAUACCUCCGGCACAAAGCGUGAUUAAAAUACUAACUAUUAUAUACUAUAGAAGCCCCCAAUGCCUGCUAGUUGAAUAGGUAUGCACAAAUAUUUCAACAUCGAAAGAAUCUAUACUAAACAGACUUUAUUUGACAUCACGAAAGCAAAGCUA
Molecule: ribosomal RNA, 181 nt
Filed under: Geotria australis
Lineage: Eukaryota; Metazoa; Chordata; Hyperoartia; Petromyzontiformes; Geotriidae
Description: partial 12S rRNA
Source: RNAcentral